UGGAGCAGUCUGGCAGCUCGUCGGGCUCAUAACCCGAAGGUCACAGGUUCAAAUCCUGU
RNAcentral lists this transfer RNA (59 nucleotides) under Elusimicrobiota bacterium. RNAcentral's name for it is "Elusimicrobia bacterium tRNA-Met". It matches the Rfam family "tRNA", at positions 8 to 63 of the family's 71-position model. From Rfam's summary of the family: Transfer RNA (tRNA) molecules are approximately 80 nucleotides in length. Their secondary structure includes four short double-helical elements and three loops (D, anti-codon, and T loops). The record is from RNAcentral. Lineage: Bacteria; Pseudomonadati; Elusimicrobiota.